GACGAACGCUGGCGGCGUGCUUAACACAUGCAAGUCGAACGGAAAGGCCCUGCUUGCAGGGUACUCGAGUGGCGAACGGGUGAGUAACACGUGGGUGAUCUGCCCUGCACUUCGGGAUAAGCCUGGGAAACUGGGUCUAAUACCGGAUAGGAGCCAUUUUUAGUGUGACGGUUGGAAAGUUUUUUUCGGUGUAGGAUGAGCUCGCGGCCUAUCAGCUUGUUGGUGGGGUAAUGGCCUACCAAGGCGGCGACGGGUAGCCGGCCUGAGAGGGUGGACGGCCACAUUGGGACUGAGAUACGGCCCAGACUCCUACGGGAGGCAGCAGUGGGGAAUAUUGCACAAUGGGCGCAAGCCUGAUGCAGCGACGCCGCGUGGGGGAUGACGGCCUUCGGGUUGUAAACUCCUUUCGCUAGGGACGAAGCUUUUUGUGACGGUACCUAGAUAAGAAGCACCGGCUAACUACGUG
This 466-nucleotide ribosomal RNA is filed under the name uncultured bacterium. RNAcentral describes it as "partial 16S ribosomal RNA". It matches the Rfam family "Bacterial small subunit ribosomal RNA", at positions 28 to 507 of the family's 1533-position model. The record is from RNAcentral.